GUUUUUAUAGUUUAAAAUUUAAAACAUUGGUCUUGUAAACCAAAAAUAAGAUUAUUCUUUAAAAUCU
Molecule: transfer RNA, 67 nt
Filed under: Perula sp. 1 HFZ-2022c
Lineage: Eukaryota; Metazoa; Arthropoda; Insecta; Lepidoptera; Pyralidae
Description: tRNA-Thr
Rfam family: tRNA
About the family: Transfer RNA (tRNA) molecules are approximately 80 nucleotides in length. Their secondary structure includes four short double-helical elements and three loops (D, anti-codon, and T loops). Further hydrogen bonds mediate the characteristic L-shaped molecular structure. tRNAs have two regions of fundamental functional importance: the anti-codon, which is responsible for specific mRNA codon recognition, and the 3' end, to which the tRNAs corresponding amino acid is attached (by aminoacyl-tRNA synthetases). tRNAs cope with the degeneracy of the genetic code in two manners: having more than one tRNA (with a specific anti-codon) for a particular amino acid; and 'wobble' base-pairing, i.e. permitting non-standard base-pairing at the 3rd anti-codon position.
Source: RNAcentral